CCUACGGGUGGCAGCAGUGAGGAAUAUUGGUCAAUGGGCGCGAGCCUGAACCAGCCAAGUAGCGUGAAGGAUGACUGCCCUACGGGUUGUAAACUUCUUUUAUAAAGGAAUAAAGUGAGGCACGUGUGCCUUUUUGUAUGUACUUUAUGAAUAAGGAUCGGCUAACUCCGUGCCAGCGGCCGGGGUAAUACGGAGGAUCCGAGCGUUAUCCGGAUUUAUUGGGUUUAAAGGGAGCUUAGCUGGGUGGUUAAGUCAGUUGUGAAAGUUUGCGGCCUAAGCGUAAAAUUGCAAUUGAUACUGGCAGGCUUGAGUACAGAUGAGGUAGGAGGAAUGUGUGGUGUAGCGGUGAAAUGCUUAGAUAUCACAAAGAACUCCGAUUGCGAAGGCAGCUUACGAAACUGCCAAUGACAUUGAUGCUCGAAAGUGUGGGUAUCAAACAGGAUUAGAUACCCUAGUAGUC
This 460-nucleotide ribosomal RNA is filed under the name uncultured bacterium. RNAcentral describes it as "partial 16S ribosomal RNA". It matches the Rfam family "Bacterial small subunit ribosomal RNA", at positions 338 to 795 of the family's 1533-position model. The record is from RNAcentral.